RNAcentral lists this long non-coding RNA (14657 nucleotides) under Gossypium barbadense (sea-island cotton). RNAcentral's name for it is "long non-coding RNA (GBAR_LNC007826)". The record is from RNAcentral. Lineage: Eukaryota; Viridiplantae; Streptophyta; Magnoliopsida; Malvales; Malvaceae.
CGUCUCCUACUUUAACUGCAUGACACUAAUAUCUCCGUCCAUGUUUUGGACAAACCUCAACUUUGUUGUCAUGUGGGGAGCCAUUAUUCUCCCGUCUCUCUUAGUUUUUGGAGGCGUAUGGUUAUGGAUGCUGCCAAGGUACCGGGAAAUGAGACAAAUACGCAGACGAGUCCGCAAUGACAAUAAUGUCGGAAUAAUUCAACUCUUGCGAAUAUCAGUCUAAUUUAUAUAUUAUAUUAUGUACUCUUUUCCAUUUUCUCUGUAUUAAUAUCUUUUAUUUUUGAAAGAAAAACACUAUGUAAUUGCUUUGGAUAAAUUUAAUAAAAAUAAGAUUACUUAUCCCGACAGAUAUUUUUGAAGUAUAGAUUGUUCAAAAUCGACUGAUUUCUAAAUGUGUCAAUAUUAUUAAUUUAACAUAAACAUAUAUAUAUAUAUAUAAUUUAUAUUUUUAUUAUAUAAUUACAUAUUUAUUAUUUUAUUUAUACAAUAAAAGAGUUAUUAAUUAAAAGAUGAAUUAAAAAACUAGAAAAUAAUAUAUUUAUUAAUUAAAAAUUAUUAUUUUUUAAAAUAACUUGAAAUAAAAAAUAUUUUAUUAUAUAAUAUAAUUUUUUUCACUUUUCAUCAAUAAUGAGAUCAAUUGUUUCGUUAAUAGAAUAGAAAACAGAUAGUUGCUUCCUAUUUCAGCAAUAUAAAUAGUUAUAAAUAGUUAUUCUAUACAAAUUAAAGAACUCUAUAAGCAAUAUUAUAAUGGUACCAUGUGUUUUUAUGUUUUUAAUUUUUAAUAUAAUUAAAAGAUGCAUUGUAUAACCUUUCUUAUAAUUAUUUAUGACUGAUUGAGUUUAAGUCACGAGUCUAACUUAAAACUAAUUGAGUUAAGAUUUAUUUAUGCUUUCAAUCAAUGUAUGAUUUUGAUAUUGCAACAGGUGUCCAGCUAUGUGGUGAGAUCUUGAAGGUGUGUCUUUGUAACGACUUGAGAAGCUUUUUGGAUUUUUUUCUUUUUCUUUUAGGUUUAUUAUUAGUAAAUUAAUGAAUUUUUGCUGCGAAAAAUUAGCUUAAAACUAAGUUCAAAAACAAAAUAUAAAAAUUAUAGGAAAUAUGUUAAUUUUAUACAACGAUAAUUAAUGACAUUGCAAUAUUACUUAACAACAUGAACAAUCCCCAUCAUCGUAUUGUCAUUCCCAAGUAAUGGCGUAUUCUCUGUACUGGAAAAUAUCCCUCCUAACGCCGGCCGAAAGUGGGUUGAAACAUUAUGCAGCUAAUUUGGUAAGAUAAUGGAUGUGUUUAUUGCAUCAAAAAGAAAUAGAAGAGGUCUUCGGUUUUUCUUUCGUUAGGUAUGGUAGGUUAGAAGAAGCAAAGAGAGCAUUGUGGAGUCUAGAUGGAAGGUGGUUCUCUAAUCCUAGAUUGACAGUCAGUAUGGCGAAGUUUAAACCUAGAGAUGCUUUGUGGAGGAAGGCAAAUGGGAGAGAGGUCAGACAACAAACAAUGAAUAUGGAAAGAAGAUGAGUUGAAGGAAAUACGGGAGCGCAUGUAGGGAAGAAUGCGAGUGAGAUUAUGGCAAAUAAUAAACAACAUGAAGAAAAUGACCCAAUAAAGUUGGACGAGAUGGUCGAAGAUUUAUGAAUUUCCAGAAAAGAUAAGAGACUAAAGUAGUAGAGGGAGCCAUUGAUGGAGAGAACUUGAAGUGGCUUGAAAAAUGUAUUGUGAGUGGAAUGAGAAACAAUGCUACUGUGGGGUUAUGGGGUGAUAAUGGAAUUUACAAAAUUGGAGUCAAAAUACUAUCGGGUAAUGAUUUGUAUGAAUUGAAAGCCAAUGAAUGGGGAGAUGUUUUGCAAGUGUUUCAGAAAGUUGAACGGUGGACAACAAAGAUGAAAGAUUAAGGUGGUUAUCCUGUUACGAGAUUGCAAUACAUGCUUGGUCUUCGAGGAGGAAGUAGUUAAACAACUUGCUGCUAUUGAAUAUUAUAAUUGGUUUGAUUUAUUAUUUUUGGUGCAAACAAUCAAUACUCAAACAGUCAAUUGACUGUCGGAUAGAUCACGUGCAAAACUAACCUAACAUUUGAGAAUUUAUCCAGAAGAAGAAACUUAUCCAAGUCCAGCCCCCCACAAGUUCCCAAUUGGCUCACUGGAAGGAUAAUAUAAUCUUAACCAUGGGACCACACUUAAGCCGGCGCCUAAAUGAUUAGACUCGUGGAAGAAACGGUGGGUAUUCUUUCACCCCAAUAACAUCACUACAAAUACACAAACCAUGUCUACCCAUUUUGCGGGCUACUUGUGAUAAAACAGGAGAACAAUGAAAAGAAGAGCAAAACAAAAUCCACACCUAAUAUAAUUUUUCCUAAAAACAAAGAAAACAAGUUUUGGGAUUAAACGAUUCAAUUCAUUUAGACUUCAACGUUAAUUAAAUUAUUAAACAUUCAAAUCUCAUUAAAUUAUGUAUAUGAUUUACAAAUUUAAUCUUCAUUAGAACUAUUUUGGAAGGGCUACGUAUAGCAUGGGAGAAGGGGUUUUGUCAAUUAGAGAUUAAAAGUGAUAAUACUCUUCUAAUGGAGACGAUUGUAGAGGGAGGAGCAAUUGAUGAAACUACACUCUAUUCAUCGAAUGAUGCAUCAAGAUUGGAAGAUUUGUCUUCGUCAUAUUCCAAGAACUCACAAUACAGUUGCUGGUCAUAUGACUAAGAUUAUGACGACAAGAUUCACUGAGAUCCAAGUAUUUGAAUAUCCAAGAUUAUGGGGAUAGGGGGUAAUUUACUAAAAAAAGCUCUUUUAUAUUAUUAUUAACCGAAAUGGCCUGACUUUUUGAUUAUUUAUCGGAAAGGGCCAUUUUCCGAUAAAUAAUCAAAAAGUCCGGCCAUUUCGAUAAAUAAUGCUAUAAAAGAGAUUGUUUUAGUAAAUUGCCCGGGGAUAGGGUCAAGACACAACUAAAUUAGUUUUUUAGCCCUCUGUAUAUUUAUCUAAGAAAAUUUUGAUAUAAAAUUUUCCACAUUUCAUAAUGAUCGAAGAAGUGUGAAAAAAAAAGUUGAUAAAAAGUUUAUAAUUAAAAAAUGUUCCAUAUGUUCGAUUAUUUACCUGAAAAUUCGAUAUGUUAUAUAAAAAUUUAGUUUAUGAUCAAUAUAUAUAUCAAGAAAAAAAAUUAAAAUUUUAAAAAAAAAUAUUGAUUAAAAAUAUCCACCAAAAUGAUAAGAAUGUACAUAAUUCAAAAUUUUAAGCAUCUUAUUUUUAAACUGAUAUUCCUAAGUAAAUUAUAUAUAUUAAAAUAUGUUUUUAAUACUGAUAUUUCUUAAUAAAUUUUUUUCUAAAUUAAAUAUUUUUUUCAAAAUUAUCUUAAAAUUUUUGAAACUUAUGUUUAUUUAUUGCUCGUGGAGAGAGCCAAAGGAUUCACAAAUAUCCUAUAAAGUAUAAUAAAAUAAUAAAAAAUAAAUAUAUAAAAAAACACAUGCCAAUACACAAAAUAUAUUAUCUAUUUUAUAACAUAAUGUUUAAAAUAAAUAUUUUAUGUUCUAAAAGUAAUACUAAAAAUAUAAAUUUUAGAGUAAAAUUUUUGAAAGCGAAGCUGGUCAACUUGCCUUAAAAAUAGUGAUUGGGAUUCAAGAUUUUGACGUCUGUUAUAGGCGGCCAUCAAUUUAUAUCCCUCGUCAAAUAUAGAUAUAUUAAUCAUUUUUUUUAAAUAUUCGAUAUUUAUAUUCAAUAUAAAUCUACCCUUGAGGGAUAAGCUUGUUUUAAAUCAGUUGAGGUUUCAAAUAAGGAUAGUCAUUUUGCAACUCUCCUAAUUUCUUCAUCAUUUAAAGAAAGAAACAAAAGCAUGGAUCCAAGCUUGAGAGAAGUAGCUGGAACAGGAGAUACUGAUGCCUUGUACGCUCUAAUUCGAAAGGAUCCGUACAUGUUGGAGCAUAUUGAUCAGAUUCCUUUCAUCGAUACUCCACUUCACAUAGCAGCAAAUGAAGGCCAAAUUAAGUUUGCAAUGGAGAUGAUGAACUUGAAGCCUUCGUUUGGUCGGAAGCUAAACCAAGACGGGUUUAGCCCCUUGCACUUGGCCUUAAAAAAUGGGCAUACCAAGCUAGUGCUUCGACUGUUGGAGACCGAUAAAGAUCUGGUUCGCGUCAAAGGAAGGGAAGGGAUGACCCCUUUCCAUUUUGCAGCUGCAGUGGGGAACUCUAAUCUUUUAUUCCAGUUCCUUGAAACUUGCCCUGAAUGCGUUGAGGAUGUCACGGUUCGUAACGAGACUGCAUUACAUCUUGCUCUGAAAAACGACCACACCGACGCUUUUAAUCUCUUACAUGGAUGGCUUCGAAAGAACCGUCGUGGAGGAGGCAAUGGUUUGGAAAGAAAGGUUGUGAAUUGGAGAGAUGAUGAUGACAACAGUGUGUUGCACAUUGCAGCUACAAGAAAACAACAUCAGGUAUAUAUGCAAUAUAAUAAUAAGUUGCGCUCCUUUGAUCAUUUUAUUAAUGACUAUUUAUAAUAUUCUACGCAGGCAGUACAACUGUUGUUGGAUUCCUUUUAUGGGUUAGAUGCAAACGCUAAGAACUCGGAAGGCUUGACAGCUCGAGAAAUCAUAGAAAGGGUUGAAAGACAGGGGUUGAACAUGAGUGGCGCCGAAGACGAUGAUACCACCACCGCCAAGAUUGAGCGCAUUAAGAAAAGAACUAGUAGGCCUGAAAGAGCAUUAAUAAAGUUGAUUCGUGCAAGGAAUGGGUUGUCGGAGAACAUGCUCAACGCAACACUGGUGGUAGCGGCGCUGGUCAUAACAGCAAUCUACCAGUCGUCUUUAAGCCCACCAAGAGGUCUUUGGCAAGGUGAUAACACUAUCCCCACCACCACCUCAAACCUUACUACGACUACUAAAUUUACCCUCUUUAACGACAAUUACAGUGAGUAUCGUUUUAAAUUUGUGUUGGGUGAAGAAACAAGGAAAACAGGUACAGCAGUCAUGAAUCCCAACUUGUUUUUAGGGUUUUGGUUUUUCAAUUUUAUAGCAUUUGGGCUUCCGGUUCUUCUAACCGUUUUGCUUUUAUCCAAUGUACCUAGUAUUCUUCUCAUCCCGCUGUAUUAUCUAUCCGUCUCCUACUUCAACUGCAUGACAAUAAUAUCUCCUUCCACGUUUUGGGCAAACCUCAACUUUGUUGUCAUGUGGACAGCCAUUAUUCUCCCGUUGCUCAUAGUUUUUAGAAGUGUAUGGUUAUCGAAGCGGCCAAAGUACAGGGAAAUCAGACAAUUACGCAGACUUUUCCACAAAUAGAAUAAUGUUGGAAUCACUCAAUGGUUGCGAAUGUCAAUGUAGUUUACAUGUUCUCUUAUGUUAUGUACUCUUUUUCCAUUUUCUCUGGAUUAAUAUCUUUUCUCUUGGGUAAAAAAAUUAUGUAAUUGCUUUGGAUAAAUUUAAUAAAUAAGAGUAAUUUUCCCAACAGAUAUCUUUGUCCUUUGCAACGAAAAGAAAAAACAAAGAAAAGCCAACCAUCCUAUUUUCUAAUUUUAAAAAAUAAUUUCCUGUUUCUGAAAAUAUCGAUUCUUUUUUUUUAAAGAUGUUUUCAAAAUAUUAUUCAGUCAAAGUUAAUGAAUUUCUCAACAAAUCGAUAAUGUUGUGGAAUUUGUUGCGGAAAGGAUCGAUUCGAGAACUCCGAUAUGACUACAAGUAAAUUGACCGAAACGAAAAAAUAAAGUGAACACAAGGAUUUACGUGGUUCGGCUUUAAUGCCUACGUCCACGGGCAGAGGCGAAAAGAAAUUUCACUAUAACAAGAUGAAGAUUACAAGUGUUUUACACUCAAGACACAACCCGAGAACCUCACAACUCUCAACCCCUAUAGAAAACCCGAAAGCUAAAAUCCUAGCUUUCAAAGAACAAGCUUUGCUCUCUCUUGGUUUGGGAUCAUCAAUAUGGCUAAUGAACCUCUCUAUUUAUAAGAGAGUUCAAGGACAUAAUUGUCCAAAACUUUGGCAAAGAUUUGUGGUUGAAAAUGGACACCAACAACCAUCCACUAAUCCACUACCACCAACAACCCACUACCAAUUUUAAGCCAUUUCUUAACAAAUCUCCACCUUGGCUUGAAAUUUACCAAGCUGAACAUCAUAGUGAACUGGAUCACCUCUUCCAAACGCCUCUCUGGCGCUAAUCAAUCCCGAAUACCUAUCAAGUCCAAGCAAUGCUUGAACUUAUAUGCAGGGAUCACCUUAGUUAACAUAUCUGCAGGAUUCUUCUCGGUAGCAACCUUGCUGAUAACAAUGUCACCUUGCGUAACAUGUUCCCGAACAAAAUGAUAUCUGACAUCAAUGUGUUUGGUCCGUUCAUGAAACAUCUGAUUUUUAGUCAGAUGUAUGGCACUCUGGCUAUCGCAAAAUACAACAGUGAAAUCCUGUUGUAAACCCAAACUGCUUACUAGACCUUUCAUCCACAAUGCUUCUUUCACUGCUUCUGCUAACGCCAUAUAUUCCGCCUCAGUCGUAGAUAAGGCUACGGUAGACUGUAACACAGCUUUCCAACUAAUGGCUCCUCCAGAAUAAGUGAAAACAUAACCCGUCAGAGAUCUUCUUUUGUCCAGAUCUCCAGCAUAAUCAGAGUCCGCAUAGCCCGUGACACUGCUAGUGCAGUCACUCUGAUCAUAUACCAAGCAUAAAUCUGCAGAACCUCUCAAGUACCUGAGAAUCCAUUUCACGGCCUGCCAGUGUUCCUUGCCAGGACAACUCAUGUAUCUGCUGACCACACUAACUGCAUGUGAAAUGUCUGGACGAGUGCAAACCAUUGCAUACAUCACGCUUCCAACUGCACUCGAGUAUGGAAUGUGAGACAUUUGCUGCUUUUCUUCAUCAGAUUGUGGUGACAACUCUGCAGAGAGUUUGAAAUGUGGUGCCAACGGAGUACUCACAGUUUUCGCUUUAUCCAUGCCGAAGCGUUGAAGAACCUUUUCAAUGUAGUUCUUCUGCGACACACGAAGCUUGCCCGCCUUGCGAUCUCUGUGAAUAUCCAUGCCCAAAAUUUUCUUGGCAGCACCCAGAUCCUUCAUCUCGAACUCACCACUCAACUGCGACUUUAACUUGUUGAUUUCCGACAUGUUUUUGGAAGCAAUUAACAUGUCAUCAACAUACAGCAACAAAUAAAUGUGCGAACCAUCUGAGAGCUUCCGAUGAUAGACACAAGCAUCAUAGUCACAUCUUGUGUAACCAUGCUGAAUCAUGAAGCUAUCAAACCGCUUGUACCACUGCCUUGGGGAUUGUUUCAAUCCAUAUAAAGACUUCUUUAAUAGACAGACAUGGUCUUCUUUACCAGGAACUGUAAAACCCUCUGGUUGACGCAUGUAGAUUGUUUCCUCGAGCUCACCAUGCAAGAACGCCGUUUUUACGUCAAGCUGCUCAAGUUCUAGAUCAGACUUGGCCACCAUGGCAAGUAAUACACGAAUGGAAGAAUGCUUUACGACUGGGGAGAAAACUUCAUUGUAGUCAAUCCCCUCUUUCUGAGUGAAGCCUUUAGCAACCAAUCGUGCCUUGAAUCUAGUUGCUUCAACCCCUAGGAUGCCUUCCUUUUUCUUGAAGACCCAUUUGCAACCAACUAUCUUCUGGUUACUUGGCGGCUUAACCAACUCCCAAGUAUGGUUCUUGUGAAGAGAUUCUAUCUCCUCACUCAUAGCAAUUGCCCACUGUGCCGACUCAUCACACGUGACAGCCUCAUUAUAACUGGAAGGUUCUAUACCAAUGGACUCCGCCACACUGAGCGCGAAAGACACCAGAUUAGCGUAACGCGGAUUUGGUUUGAUUUGUCUCUUCGUUCUUCCAGUGGCAAUGCUAUAUGGUUUUUCUUGAGGUGACUCAUCUUCAUCGGAAUCUUGCACCUCAACUUGAUCAUCCUGGACUGAAGUACCUUCCGUAGGAAUUGGAGCGUCCACCUGACACUCCACCUGCUUCUCAACACCGUGAUCUCCCAUUCUAUCUGACUCCUCCUUUUCCCGGGAAUUUGUGGUGGAUCGAAGCAUGGAUGACUCAUCAAAAGUCACAUCUCUGCUGAUGAUGAACUUGGACGAAACCGGAUCAGGACACCACAACCUGUAUCCUUUCACCCCUUGGCCGUAUCCAAGAAAUAUGCAUUUCUUCGCCCUCGGUUUGAGUUUUCCCUCAUUUACAUGAGCAUACGCAGGGCAGCCAAACACUCUUAAACCAGAGUAAUCAGCAGGAGAACCAGACCAUACUUCCUCAGGAGUCUUCAGCUCAAUAGCUGUUGACGGAGAUCUGUUAACCAAAUAACAAGCAGUAUUAACAGCUUCAGCCCAAAAUUCUUCACCGAGCCCAGCAUUUGAUCGCAUGCAACGAGCUCGCUCCAAGAGAGUUCUAUUCAUGCGUUCUGCAACUCCAUUUUGUUGUGGUGUUCGACGAACAGUGCGGUGUCUCACUAUUCCUUCAUUUUUGCAGAACUCAUUGAAUUCACCUGAGCAAAACUCCAAGCCAUUAUCCGUCCGGAAUCGCUUGAUCUUCUUUCCUGUUUGAUUUUCGAUCAAAGCUUUAAAUUGCUUGAAGUUGAUGAGAACCUCAUACUUGCUCUUCAGAAAAUACACCCAAACCUUUCUCGAGUAAUCAUCGAUAAAGGUAAGCAGAUAUCUGUAACCACCUUUAGAAAUUGUCGGAGAAGGCCCCCAAAGGUCAGAAUGGAAGUAAUCCACUGUGCCUUUUGUCUUGUGAAUCCCAGUGCUGAACUUUACCCGAGUCUGCUUACCGAAGACGCAGUGCUCACAGAAAUUCAACUUUCCUGUACACUGCCCAGACAAUAAUCCUCGUUUGCUUAGCACCGAUAAGCCUCUCUCGCUCAUAUGCCCGAGCCGCAUAUGCCAUAACUUCGUGGUGUCAGAAUCUAGAUCAUCUGAUGAUGACACUCCCGCAACACCUGUAACCGAGGAACCAUCGAGGAAGUAAAGGCCCCGCUCCAAAUUACCACGUAUCACAGUCAAAGCACCCGAGAAUACCUUGAGAACUCCACCUUCAGCAGAGUACCGAAAGCCUUUCUUGUCCAACGUACUCAAAGAGAUCAAAUUUUUCUUCAUUUCUGGAAUGUGCCGAACAUCAGUUAGAGUUCUAACAAUACCGUCAAACAUCUUUAUACGAACUGUGCCAAUCCCCAUGACUUGACAUGCGUGGUCAUUUCCCAUUAGUACUGAACCAGAAUGCUUCUCGUAUGUUGAGAAUGCAUCUUUCGAAGUACUUAUAUGAAAUGUAGCUCCCGUAUCAAGAAUCCAUCUCCCACCAGCGUAAGAGUCGGAUACUGCAAGAACGAUCUCGGCAUCACUUGAAGAAUCUGCAUCAGCUACAUUCGCACGAUCAUUUUGUUGCUCCUGUGAUUCUGAUUUCUCCUUCCUUUUCGGACAAUCUACCUUCAUGUGCCCGUACUUCUUACAGUAGUAGCACUGUAUUCUCUUCUUGGACUGCGAUCUAGGAUGGCUUUUACUUGAACUUCCACCCUUUGCCUUGGAUCUUCCUCGAGCAACCAAGCCUUCGCCUUCAUUGUUUUCGACCACCUUACCAGUGAUUUUCUUCCUCAACUCACUGGAACUUAAGGCAUUUUUCACCUCCUCUAGAGUCAGGUCAUCACGACCGUACAUCAUUGUAUCAACAAAAUUCUCAUACGAGGGAGGCAAAGAACACAAAACAAUUAUUGCUUGGUCCUCAUCAUCGAUUUUGUUAUCGAUAUUAUUCAAAUCCAUGAUAAUGGAAUUGAAUUUAUCCAGGUGCUGGGAAACAGGUGUACCUUCCUCCAUCUUCAGGGCAUAGAGUCUUUGCUUGAGGUAGAGCCGGUUCGUCAAUGACUUCGUCAUGUACUUGCUCUCUAACCGGAGCCACAAACCGGACGCGGUUUUCUCAUCCGCUACUUCUCGUAGCACUUCAUCUCCUAGACAUAGCAGAAUAGCACUAUGUGCUCUUUCUAGCAUGUCAUCCUUUUGCUCUUCCGAAAGCGUGCUUGGUAAUUUAUCUUUACCAGACAAUGCUUUUAGCAAUCCUUGUUGAACCAGCACUGCCCGCAUCUUGAUGCGCCAUAAACUGAAACUAUUUUUCCCGGUAAAUUUCUCGACAUCAUACUUAGUCGAUGAAACACUUGUAGCCAUAAUUUGGAACCUUUGAAUGAAUGAUAAUAUUUUCUUCCUGAUGUGAAAGAUCAGACAAAGCUGCAGUCACAGGGCAAUUCAGAAAAUAUUAUCACUCCUUCAACUACGCUCUGAUACCAAUUUGUUGCGGAAAGGAUCGAUUCGAGAACUCCGAUAUGACUACAAGUAAAUUGACCGAAACGAAAAAAUAAAGUGAACACAAGGAUUUACGUGGUUCGGCUUUAAUGCCUACGUCCACGGGCAGAGGCGAAAAGAAAUUUCACUAUAACAAGAUGAAGAUUACAAGUGUUUUACACUCAAGACACAACCCGAGAACCUCACAACUCUCAACCCCUAUAGAAAACCCGAAAGCUAAAAUCCUAGCUUUCAAAGAACAAGCUUUGCUCUCUCUUGGUUUGGGAUCAUCAAUAUGGCUAAUGAACCUCUCUAUUUAUAAGAGAGUUCAAGGACAUAAUUGUCCAAAACUUUGGCAAAGAUUUGUGGUUGAAAAUGGACACCAACAACCAUCCACUAAUCCACUACCACCAACAACCCACUACCAAUUUUAAGCCAUUUCUUAACAGAAUUAAAUCUGAAUAUUACAUAAAAAGAUGACAAUACAUUUUUUCGAUUUAAUAUUCAAGCCAAAUAACAUGCAACUUUGAUAGAGAUAAUGAACAGUAAACCUCAUAAGGGUUCUAAGAAGUCCUUUUAUGCUUGCCUUUCCAGACUACACCGCUUUGGAGCCCAAUAUGGCUCAUUCUCUUUGUCUGCAUAGUCAGCUUUUGUGCUUGCUUGAGUUUUGCGGUUUCAGGUCCUUUUCACUUCUACAAGCAUUAAGAUUGUCUACACUAGAUCACAUUCAUGUAAUUUGGGCUCACAAUGAACCUGGUUUUGUCUGGACUCAUUGCUAUGUGUUUAAGUUAGACUUGGACCUUUCAUUUUUUUUUAUAUGAAAAUUGAUUGCUCGGGAAUUUUGUUAAACCAAACUAUGUCAAUUUUACCUUAAAAAAAACAUGUUAAUUUUGUACACGUCCUUGUACUAUUAUAGUAUGAAAUAUAUUUUUCUUUCAAAUGAGAAAACAAGUAAUAUGAAUUUUUUUUUUGUAAUAAUUGAAUUAAACUGUUAAAUGCGACGGUUCAAAUUAAGCAACAAUGAGUUAGGUAAACUUGUCAUUAUUUAAAUUAAUAUCUAUCAUUUAAUUAAGCCCCCUUAUAAAAUUAUUUUCCUUUACAAUUCUUAUGAAAUCAAAAAAAAAAAAAUUUUUGCAGGACUGAGAUAAAAUUAUAAAAUUUUAGGAAGAUCAAUGUUAUUUUUUUUUGCUUAAAUUAAAUUAUUAAAUUUUUAGAACGGCGAAAAAUUAAAAAUUUUCCAUUAAUCAAAAAGGUUUUAAAAAAAAACUUAAAUGAAAUAAUUGGUCCUUGUAGUCUCAAUUUCUAAGGACCUUUGGGCUGAAUUUAAGAGUACAAGAACCAAAAUGCACUCCUCUCAAUUGAAUAUUAUAAUUGGUUUGAUUUAUUAUUUUUGGUGCAAACAAUCAACACUCAAACAGUCAAUACCGUCCGAUAGAUCACGUGGAAAACCAUCCUAACAUAUGAGAAUAUAUCCAGAAGAAGAAACUUAUCCAAAUCCAACCCACCACAAGUUGUCAACCAGCUCAUCCCAUUGGCCUUUCCACACCUUCGAACUGAUUGGUGCAAUCCGAGCUGGUCCUAUUAUUGGAAAGAGAAUAGAAUCUUAACCGUGGGACCACACUUAAGCCGGCGUCCUAAAUGAUUAGACGCGUGAAAAAACGGUGGGUAUUCUUUCACCCAAUACCAUCACUACAAAUACACAAACCAUGUCUACCCAUACUCUGGGCUAUUUGUGAUAAAACAGGAAAACAAUGAAAAAUAAUAAUAUAAAGAAGAGAAAACAUUCAAAUCUCGUUAAAUUCAUGAACAAAAUUGGUUGUGGGGUUCUCAAUGUUGCUAAGUAAAGACGGAGUUUUUAAUAUUGAUGCGAGAGCUAUUUUAGAAGGGUUAUGUUAGAGAUUGAGAGUAAUAACACUCUUUUGAUGGGAUGAUUGUAGAGGGAGGAGCAGCUAAUAGUUAGUUAAUAGAAUUACAUUCUAUUCAUCGAAUGAUGCGUCGAGAUUGGAAGAUUUGUUUUCGUCAUAUCCCAAGAACUCACAAUACAAUUGCUGAUCAUAUUACUAAGGUUAUGACGAUAAAAUUCACUGAAGUCUUAUUUUGUACAACAUUUAAUAUAAACAGAUUACAUUAGUAUUACAUAGGCUAAUACGUUAUCUUAAUAGUAUCGCGUACAGCUAUUUUAAUUUACCAAAUAAUAAUAAUAAUGGAGCCCAUGCUUUUUGAAUCUUUUCUAUGUCACAGCUAUGGAGAUGGGUCAAGACACAACUAUCCUUUUUUUAGGUCAAAUAAAUCUCAAUUAGUUUUUUAAGCCCUCUGUAUAUAUAUAUUUAUCUAAUAAAAUUUUCCACGUUUCAUAAUGAUCGAAGAAGUGUAAAGCAAAAGUUUAUAAAAAGUUUAUAAUUAAAAAAUAUUCCAUAUCUUCGAGUAUUUAACUGAAAAGUUGAUAUGUUUAUAAAAAUUUAUUUUAUGAUCAAUAUAUAUCAAGAAAAAAAUUUUAAUUUCAAAAAAAUAUUGAUUAAAAAUAUCCACCAAAAUGAUAAGAAUGUACAUAAUUCAAAAUUUUAAACAUCUUAUUUUUAAACUGAUAUUCCUAAGUAAAUUAUAUAUCUUAAAAUAUGUUUUUAAUACUGAUAUUUCUUAAUAAAUUUGUUUCUAAAUUAAAUAUUAUUUUUCUAAAAUUAUCUUAAAAUUUUUGAUACGUGAAAAAAGUUCGACAAAAUAUAGUAAAAUAUUAAAAAAUAAAUAUUAAAAAAAACACAUACCAAUACACAAAAUAUAUUUUAUAACAUGUUAUUUAAAAUAAAUAUUUUAUUUUCUAAAAGUAUUUUUUUUGCCACAAUACUAAAAAUAUAAAUUUUAGAGUAAAAUAUUUGAAAGCUAAGCUGGUCAACUUGCCUUGAAACAAGUGGGGAAAAUGCGUCCAAAUUAUAUUGAAGUGAGAAACAGGGAGUGGGUUUCAAGAUUUUGAAGUCUAUGAUUGGCGGCCAUCGAUUUAUAUCCCUCGUCAAAUCUAUAUUUUAAAAAUGAUUAAAAAUAUUCGAUAUUUAUAUUCAAUAUAAAUCUACCCUUGACGGAGCUUGUUUUAAAUCAGUUGAGGUUUCAAAUAAGGAUAGUCAUUUUGCAACUCUCCUAAUUUCUUCAUCAUUUAAAGAAAGAAACAAAAGCAUGGAUCCAAGCUUGAGAGAAGUAGCUGGAACAGGAGAUACUAAUGCCUUGUACGCUCUAAUUCGAAAGGAUCCGUACAUGUUGGAGCGUAUUGAUCAGAUUCCUUUCAUCGAUACUCCACUUCACAUAGCAGCAAAUGAAGGCCAAAUUAAGUUUGCAAUGGAGAUGAUAAACUUGAAGCCUUCGUUUGGUCGGAAGCUAGACCAAGACGGCUUUAGCCCCAUGCAUUUGGCCUUCAAAAUGGGGCAUACCAAGCUAGUGCUUCGACUGUUGAAGACCGAUAAAGACCUGGUUCGCGUCAGAGGAAGGGAAGGGAUGACCCCUUUCCAUUGUGCAGCUGCAGUGGGGAACUCUAAUCUUUUAUUCCAGUUCCUUGAAACUUGCCCUGAAUGUGUUGAGGAUGUCACGGUUCGUAACGAGACUGCAUUACAUCUUGCUCUGAAAAACAACCACACCGACGCUUUUAAUCUCUUACAUGGAUGGCUUCGAAAGAACCGUCGUGGAGGAGGCAAGGAUUUGGAAAGAAAGGUUGUGAAUUGGAGAGAUGAUGAUGACAACACUGUGUUGCACAUUGCAGCUACAAAGCAACAGCAUCAGGUAUAUAUGCAAUAUAAUGAUAAGUUGCGUUCCUUUGAUCAUUUUAUUAAUGACUAUUUAUAAUAUUCUACGCAGGCAGUACAACUGUUGUUGGAUUCCUUUUAUGGGUUAGAUGCAAACGCUAAGAACUCGGAAGGCUUGACAGCUCGAGAAAUCAUAGAAAGGGUUGAAAGACAGGGGUUGAACAUGAGUGGCGCCGAAGACGAUGAUACCACCACCGCCAAGAUUGAGCGCAUUAAGAAAAGAACCAGUAGGUCUGAAAGAGCAUUAAUAAAGUUGAUUCGUGCAAGGAAUGGGUUGUCGGAGAACAUGCUCAACGCAACACUGGUGGUAGCGGCGCUGGUCAUAACAGCAAUCUACCAGUCAUCUUUAAGCCCACCAAGAGGUCUUUGGCAAGGUGAUAACACUAUCCCCACCAACACCACAAACCUUACUACGACUACUAAAUUUACACUCUUUCACGACAAUUACAGUGAGUAUCGUACUAGAGUUGUGUUCGGUGAACAAACAAAGGAAACUGGUACAGCAGUCAUGAAUCCCAACUUGUUUUUAGCGUUUUGGUUUUUCAAUUUUAUAGCAUUUGGGCUUCCAAUUCUUCUAACCGUUUUGCUUUUAUCCAAUGUACCUAGUAUUCUUCUCAUCCCGCUUUAUUAUCUAUCCGUCUCCUACUUCAACUGCAUGACAAUAAUAUCUCCUUCCACGUUUUGG